CUUCUUUUCUUUUCUUCCUCUUUCGUUCGACGUCGACGGUCAGGCCAAGCCAAACCGCCGCUGCAACCGUCGGCCGCCGUCUCUGUUGCGAAGCAAGGCCGCCGCGUGACCUUCCGCCCACCGCCGUGUGACCCUCUGUCCAGAUCUGCACCGCUAGAUCGAGCCGUCCACCGGUUUCGUCUGUUUCUGUCUCCGUUCACCGAAGUCGAACCCAACCGCCACCCUUUCUUUUCUUCUUCGAUCCAAAAACUGCCGCUGCAACCGUCAGCCGCCGCGUGACCUCUGCCCAGCACCGCCGCGCGACCUCUGUCUCUGCGCCGUUACCCAGAUCUGCGUCGCCGUGCCCCAUCCUAAUCGUCUCUGUCUCUGUCGAAGUUUUGUUGGUAAGAUUGAAGUUAUGAAAUUGUAGUC
Molecule: long non-coding RNA, 411 nt
Filed under: Cucumis sativus (cucumber)
Lineage: Eukaryota; Viridiplantae; Streptophyta; Magnoliopsida; Cucurbitales; Cucurbitaceae
Description: long non-coding RNA (CSAT_LNC000231)
Source: RNAcentral